Molecule: ribosomal RNA, 253 nt
Filed under: uncultured bacterium
Lineage: Bacteria
Description: partial 16S ribosomal RNA
Rfam family: Bacterial small subunit ribosomal RNA
Source: RNAcentral
GACAGAGGGGGCAAGCGUUGCUCGGAAUUACUGGGCGUAAAGGGCGCGUAGGCGGGAUGGCAAGUCGGUCGUGAAAUCCUUCGGCCCAACCGAAGAACGUCGAUCGAUACUGCUGUUCUAGAGGAUUGCAGAGGAGACUGGAAUUCCCGGUGUAGCGGUGAAAUGUGUAGAGAUCGGGAGGAACACCUGAGGUGAAGACGGGUUGCUGGGCCAACACUGACGCUGAGGCGCGAAAGCCAGGGGAGCAAACGGG